This 428-nucleotide ribosomal RNA is filed under the name uncultured bacterium. RNAcentral describes it as "bacterial SSU rRNA". It matches the Rfam family "Bacterial small subunit ribosomal RNA", at positions 355 to 775 of the family's 1533-position model. The record is from RNAcentral.
UGGGGAAUAUUGGACAAUGGGCGAAAGCCUGAUCCAGCCAUGCCGCGUGUGUGAAGAAGGUCUUCGGAUUGUAAAGCACUUUAAGCUGGGAGGAAGGGCAUUAACCUAAUACGUUAGUGUUUUGACGUUACCGACAGAAUAAGCACCGGCUAACUUCGUGCCAGCAGCCGCGGUAAUACGAAGGGUGCAAGCGUUAAUCGGAAUUACUGGGCGUAAAGCGCGCGUAGGUGGUUUGUUAAGUUGAAUGUGAAAGCCCCGGGCUCAACCUGGGAACUGCAUCCAAAACUGGCAAGCUAGAGUAUGGCAGAGGGUGGUGGAAUUUCCUGUGUAGCGGUGAAAUGCGUAGAUAUAGGAAGGAACACCAGUGGCGAAGGCGACCACCUGGGCUAAUACUGACACUGAGGUGCGAAAGCGUGGGGAGCAAACAG